Molecule: ribosomal RNA, 799 nt
Filed under: uncultured bacterium
Lineage: Bacteria
Description: bacterial SSU rRNA
Rfam family: Bacterial small subunit ribosomal RNA
Source: RNAcentral
AGAGUUUGAUCAUGGCUCAGAUUGAACGCUGGCGGCAGGCCUAACACAUGCAAGUCGAACGGUAACAGGAAGCAGCUUGCUGCUUUGCUGACGAGUGGCGGACGGGUGAGUAAUGUCUGGGAAACCGCCUGAUGGAGGGGGAUAACUACUGGAAACGGUAGCUAAUACCGCAUAACGUCGCAAGACCAAAGAGGGGGACCUUCGGGCCUCUUGCCAUCGGAUGUGCCCAGAUGGGAUUAGCUAGUAGGUGGGGUAACGGCUCACCUAGGCGACGAUCCCUAGCUGGUCUGAGAGGAUGACCAGCCACACUGGAACUGAGACACGGUCUAGACUCCUACGGGAGGCAGCAGUGGGGAAUAUUGCACAAUGGGCGCAAGCCUGAUGCAGCCAUGCCGCGUGUAUGAAGAAGGCCUUCGGGUUGUAAAGUACUUUCAGCGGGGAGGAAGGCGACAGGGUUAAUAACCCUGUCGAUUGACGUUACCCGCAGAAGAAGCACCGGCUAACUCCGUGCCAGCAGCCGCGGUAAUACGGAGGGUGCAAGCGUUAAUCGGAAUUACUGGGCGUAAAGCGCACGCAGGCGGUCUGUCAAGUCGGAUGUGAAAUCCCCGGGCUCAACCUGGGAACUGCAUUCGAAACUGGCAGGCUAGAGUCUUGUAGAGGGGGGUAGAAUUCCAGGUGUAGCGGUGAAAUGCGUAGAGAUCUGGAGGAAUACCGGUGGCGAAGGCGGCCCCCUGGACAAAGACUGACGCUCAGGUGCGAAAGCGUGGGGAGCAAACAGGAUUAGAUACCCCGGUAGUCC